RNAcentral lists this ribosomal RNA (448 nucleotides) under uncultured bacterium. Its description in RNAcentral is "bacterial SSU rRNA". It matches the Rfam family "Bacterial small subunit ribosomal RNA", at positions 331 to 795 of the family's 1533-position model. The record is from RNAcentral.
CCAGACUCCUACGGGAGGCAGCAGUGGGGAAUAUUGCACAAUGGGGGGAACCCUGAUGCAGCGACGCCGCGUGAGCGAAGAAGUAUUUCGGUAUGUAAAGCUCUAUCAGCAGGGAAGAAAAAUGACGGUACCUGAGUAAGAAGCACCGGCUAAAUACGUGCCAGCAGCCGCGGUAAUACGUAUGGUGCAAGCGUUAUCCGGAUUUACUGGGUGUAAAGGGAGCGCAGGCGGUGCGGCAAGUCUGAUGUGAAAGCCCGGGGCUCAACCCCGGGACUGCAUUGGAAACUACCGAACUAGAGUGUCGGAGAGGUAAGUGGAAUUCCUAGUGUAGCGGUGAAAUGCGUAGAUAUUAGGAGGAACACCAGUGGCGAAGGCGGCUUACUGGACGAUAACUGACGCUGAGGCUCGAAAGCGUGGGGAGCAAACAGGAUUAGAUACCCUGGUACAC